CCUUGGUAUUUUCUAGAGCGCUAUCAGAGCACACGGAGGCUUUCUCACACCUGAGCAGUGACUUCAGAGUGCAGUAUUACUGCAAGGAGAUUCAGAGACGGACAUCCAGCACAGCCGACCGGAAAAGGAGGGCCAGUACUUCAGCGAGGAGGAGAUGCGUGUGUGAGAGCCUCUGCUGUAUGAGCAGUACAUCCGACAGUACCUCAGCGAAGAGAUCCUGCAGCGCUCAGAGGAGGCCAUGAGGAGCGGCCCGGGGGGACUCGCUGACCUGCUUAUCAACUCCUACCAGGAGAAACUGAUCCAGAACCACCUGGAGGAGGAGCAGGAGAGAGAGCACUGUGCAGCGGAGGAGUCUGAGGUGUGAGAUCUCACUGACUGACUCGUGACUGAGAUUCCAUUUCUUUAAUGGAUGAAUGUGUUUUAGAAUGUGAUGAGCCCAGACAGACAGACAGACAGACAGAGUGGGAGCCGAAUGCAGAAGAGAAAGCCAUGCUGAGAGAGGAGUUUCUCAGUCCAAUGCAUCAGCGCUUCCUGGAUGGCAAGGAUGACUUCAACUACAGUGAAGUGGAUGAGAAUCCAGAUUAUGAUAACCUGAAUAUUUUAAGCUGUGAUGCAGAGGAGCGCUACUUUGAUGAAGAAGUGGAAAAAGAAGAGGAUAUGAUGCAGUAGCCCUUAAUGUAUAUAAUGUUCUCACAGCAGAAUUUUUUUUAAAUUUGUUGUACAGUCUUUGUCAUAUAUCUACUGCUUGAUAUUGUUUGUGUAGGUUAAAUGUGAUCAUCAGCACCUUGUUGUCUUUAAUAAGAGUACUAUUGUUCAAGAUGUUGUUGUGGUCAUGUUUGAAGAAUUCUUAUUUAAAAAAAAUAAAAAUCAAGACACAGUUGCAGGUCAGACCUUAGAAGUCUUAAGCAUUUUCAGUUUAAAAGCUUUUGCUGUUAAAGGUGUAUAAAAUUCAUGCUGUAUGUAGGACUCAUAGUUUCUCAUAAUGGUUAAUAAAACAAAUGUGCAGCUG
Molecule: long non-coding RNA, 1009 nt
Organism: Cyprinus carpio (common carp)
Lineage: Eukaryota; Metazoa; Chordata; Actinopteri; Cypriniformes; Cyprinidae
Exons: 3
Source: RefSeq, a predicted model, not a curated record